RNA transcript from Helianthus annuus (common sunflower), 1534 nucleotides. It is a transcript of the gene named beta-adaptin-like protein B, with no coding region annotated. Lineage: Eukaryota; Viridiplantae; Streptophyta; Magnoliopsida; Asterales; Asteraceae. The transcript is spliced from 7 exons. The record is from RefSeq and is a predicted model, not a curated record.
AUUAAAAACCCUAAUGAACUAUUGAACACAAACGGACAUAAACGAACAUAUCACUGAACGUUCACGAACAUAAAUGACAAACGUGGCCUUUGUUCAUGUUCGUUCAUUAACUAAAUGAACAAAAGUUCUUGUUCGUGUUCGUUCCUUUAUUAAAUGAAUGAACACAAACGGACUUCCCGCCCAACAGUUCACGAACUUUUCGCUGAACGUUCGGUUCAGUUGCAGCCCUACUUGAAAGUACAUUAAAAGAAUGUAUUUUAUACUAUUCUCAUAGUUUUGAGGUUUACCACCCGUAGACAAUUCUUGUUUGUUAUAUAGUUUACUGGCAUUUCGGUUGCAGGCCUCCAUUGCCUGUUCUACUACCAGCUGCAAGCGGUCAAGGUUUGGAAAUCAGUGCUCAAAUGGUGCGGAGAGAUGGUCAGAUAUUUUACAGCUUAAUGUUCGAGAACAAAACGCAAAUUCCACUGGACGGGUUCAUGAUUCAGCUCAAUAAGAACACGUUUGGUCUUGCUGCUGGUGGACCCCUCCAGGUCCCACAAGUGCAACCGGGAACAUCAGAAAGAACACUUCUUCCUAUGGUGUUGUUUCAGAAUAUUGCACCGGGCCCACCAAACUCGGUUCUGCAGGUUGCUGUGAAGAACAACCAACAACCUGUGUGGUACUUUAAUGAUAAAAUCUCACUGCUCGUGUUGUUUACCGAGGAAGGAAGAAUGGAACGUACCGCCUUUCUCGAGACAUGGAAGUCAUUGCCAGAUUCCAACGAGGUCUCAAAAGACAUUCCGUCUAUUGUGAUAAACGAUAUUGAUGCAACCAUAGAGCGGUUAUCUUCUUCAAACAUGUUCUUUAUUGCCAAACGUAAGAACGGCAACCAGGAUGUCUUAUACUUAUCAGCCAAAAUCCCACGCGGUAUCCCUUUCUUGAUUGAACUGACAACAGUUGUCGGUGUUCCCGGGCUUAAAUGUAACAGUAACUACAAUGAAUAAGGUGUUUUUUUAAUUAAAAUAUCACGUCGAAGUUGUUCUCGUUUUCACAUCGUUUCACGGAUCAGAGUAUCAUGGCACGCGUAGUACAGCAGAUGCCGGCAGAGGUCGUGGUUUUAUGGCAGGAGGCGGCAGGGGGCAAGGUGUGGUCGCAGAUUUGAUGUGAUAAUUCAUUAGGGUCGGGUUAUGGGUCAGAACGGGUUUCAGAUCCAGCAUGCUUUUGAAGAACAUGGACAUGUUGAGGUUUCUUUAGUCAAAAAUAAGAGAACAGGGCAGCAACAAGAUAUCAUGGGACAUGCUAUGGCAAAUAUCAUGGGUCGUGGCCCAGGCGUUGAUCGAAGUAGUGGCGAGCAAGGUCGUAGUCAAGGAAGUGUUCUAGGUAGUAGUGAUACCGUUGGACUAAAGUCAGAUCAGUAGCGAUGCUAAAAGCUAGGUUUCAAAACGCAUAAUCAUUGACUUAAGUUUCAAAACGUGUAAACGCUUUGUUUUGAAUAUGUAUUUUGUUAUGAUAACUUUGGUAUUUGAUGUUUUAAGUGGAAUGUUUUAUAUGAUAA